This 378-nucleotide ribosomal RNA is filed under the name uncultured bacterium. RNAcentral's name for it is "bacterial SSU rRNA". It matches the Rfam family "Bacterial small subunit ribosomal RNA", at positions 524 to 898 of the family's 1533-position model. The record is from RNAcentral.
CACGUAGGGCGCAAGCGUUGUCCGGAUUCAUUGGGCGUAAAGAGCUCGUAGGCGGUUUGGUAAGUCGGGUGUGAAAGCUCAGGGCUCAACUCUGAGAUGCCACCCGAUACUGCCAUGACUCGAGUCCGGUAGGGGAGCACGGAAUUCCUGGUGUAGCGGUGAAAUGCGCAGAUAUCAGGAGGAACACCAGUAGCGAAGGCGGUGCUCUGGGCCGGAACUGACGCUGAGGAGCGAAAGCGUGGGGAGCAAACAGGAUUAGAUACCCUGGUAGUCCACGCCGUAAACGUUGGGCACUAGGUGUGGGACCCAUCCAACGGGUUCUGUGCCGUAGCUAACGCAUUAAGUGCCCCGCCUGGGGAGUACGGCCGCAAGGCUAAA